This 1026-nucleotide long non-coding RNA is filed under the name Setaria italica (foxtail millet). Its description in RNAcentral is "long non-coding RNA (SITA_LNC002570)". The record is from RNAcentral. Lineage: Eukaryota; Viridiplantae; Streptophyta; Magnoliopsida; Poales; Poaceae.
UGGCUCAAUUGAUGUAAAAUUUAAAUUCCCUGUGACCACACUUCCUAUUAAACAAAAAUCAAGGUAACAAUAUCAACGUCUUAAACAUUGGGAUGUUGGUGAGCUCUUUCAGAAUAUCCACAAGUCUCUUCUCAUACGUGUAGCUCCACGUAGCCCUUUCCGUUGACAUGGCUACAAGAAAUAAACAAGAUUAGAUAAAGGCUGUCAUGAAAACAAUACAAAAAUAAGCAAUGAAGAAAAAAAAUAAUACAGGCUGUAACAUUUAUGCUCAAAACAUUUAUCCAAACAUCAAAAGUUACUACCCACAUCUCUAUCUUCAGUACCUUGAGAGUUGAUGCAAACAUCAAAAGUUGCUACCUCUGAUUCUUUCUUCCUGAUCAGACUACUUUCUACUAGCACAUAUAACCAAGUUGCAUAUUAAGCUGUAAUACUGAAAACAGUCGGAAACAUCGACAUGUCCGUCAGCCUCUCUAGCAGAACAAAAAUAAAGGGCAAGCGCAUCGAACCUGCAGAGCAGCAAUGGGAUUGUUAGGCAACAACCUGCGCCCCAGGUCUUCUGUAAGAGCAGAUUUAAUUGUGCUGGACCCAAAGCUCUAUCUCAUCCUUAGUGAGUGCUCCCUAUAAACCACUCAAGCUCUACAACCUUUGGUUACUCAACUGCCUCACACAAUCAUAGCAAGCCAUGACCUUAUUGAUUGAUCCACGAGUAAAGAUUGCUUACAUAGCACCACAACAAGGCAGGCAACUAGCAGCAUAUAGGCAAAGCAAUCUAUGCCUGGAACUGCAACUGGAUCUGGGGAGGAAAAGGAGGAGAAAGGAAGGGCUCACCGUUGGGACGAGGCAAGGCGGGGAAGUUACAGAGCAGUGGAUGGAGAGGCGGCGGGGAAGUCACCGGAUCUUGGAGAUCAAGCCGGCGUGGGGAUGGAGAGGCGGCGGGGAGGCGACGGUGAGACGACCAGGAGUGGCGAUGGCGAGGUGCAGAAAGGGGGAUCCGCAUAGGCGACCUGUGCUGCAUCGCUCGGGAGC